This 21-nucleotide non-coding RNA is filed under the name Caenorhabditis elegans. The record is from RNAcentral. Lineage: Eukaryota; Metazoa; Nematoda; Chromadorea; Rhabditida; Rhabditidae.
UCCUUUAAUGUGACAAUUUCA